GUGGGGAAUUUUGGACAAUGGGCGCAAGCCUGAUCCAGCAAUGCCGCGUGUGUGAAGAAGGCCUUCGGGUUGUAAAGCACUUUUGGCAGGAAAGAAAUAGCGCGUGCGAAUACCAUGUGCGAAUGACGGUACCUGCAGAAUAAGCACCGGCUAACUACGUGCCAGCAGCCGCGGUAAGACGUAGGGUGCAAGCGUUAAUCGGAAUUACUGGGCGUAAAGCGUGCGCAGGCGGUUUUGUAAGACAGGUGUGAAAUCCCCGGGCUCAACCUGGGAACUGCACUUGUGACUGUAAGGCUAGAGUGUGUCAGAGGGAGGUGUAAUGCCGCGUGUAGCAGUGAAAUGCGUAGAGAUGCGGAGGAACACCGAUGGCGAAGGCAGCCUCCUGGGAUAACACUGACUCUCAGGCACGAAAGCGUGGGGAGCAAGCAGGAUUAGAAACCCCUGUAGUCC
Molecule: ribosomal RNA, 450 nt
Filed under: uncultured bacterium
Lineage: Bacteria
Description: partial 16S ribosomal RNA
Rfam family: Bacterial small subunit ribosomal RNA
Source: RNAcentral